RNAcentral lists this ribosomal RNA (491 nucleotides) under uncultured bacterium. Its description in RNAcentral is "partial 16S ribosomal RNA". It matches the Rfam family "Bacterial small subunit ribosomal RNA", at positions 29 to 507 of the family's 1533-position model. The record is from RNAcentral.
AUGAACGCUAGCUACAGGCUUAACCCAUGCCAGUCGAGGGGAAACGACAUCGAAAGCUUGCUUUUGAUGGGCGUCGACCGGCGCACGGGUGAGUAACGCGUAUCCAACCUGCCCAUCACUUGGGAAUAACCUUGCGAAAGUAAGACUAAUACCCAAUGAUAUCCCACGAAGGCAUCGGAAUGGGAUUAAAGAUUUAUCGGUGAUGGAUGGGGAUGCGUCUGAUUAGCUUGUUGGCGGGGUAACGGCCCACCAAGGCAACGAUCAGUAGGGGUUCUGAGAGGAAGGUCCCCAACAUUGGAACUGAGACACGGUCCAAACUCCUACGGGAGGCAGCAGUGAGGAAUAUUGGUCAAUGGGCGAGAGCCUGAACCAGCCAAGUAGCGUGCAGGAAGACGGCCCUAUGGGUUGUAAACUGCUUUUAGAAGGGAAUAAAGUGGGUCACGUGUGACUUUUUGCAUGUACCUUAUGAAUAAGGACCGGCUAAUUCCGUG